GGGGGAGGGGGGGGGGGGGGCGGGGGGGUGGGGGUGGAGGGGAGCUUUCGGGGGGAGGGGGGGGCGGGUGAGUAACGCGGGGGAGCGUGGCUUUCGGUUGGGAAUAGGUCAGGGAAACUUGUGCUACGCCAGAAUGUGAACUUCGGGGGAAAGAUUAAUCGCCUGUAGAGCGGCUCGCGUCUGAUUAGCUAGUUUGUCGAGGUAAUGGAUCACCAAGGCGACGAUCAGUAGCUGGUCUGAGAGGAUGAUCAGCCACAUUGGGACUGAGACACUGCCCAAACUCCUACGGGAGGCAGCAGUGGGGAAUCUUGCGCAAUGGGCGAAAGCCUGACGCAGCCAUGCCGCGUGAAUGAUGAAGGUCUUAGGAUUGUAAAAUUCUUUCACCGGGGACGAUAAUGACGGUACCCGGAGAAGAAGCCCCGGCUAACUUCGUG
Molecule: ribosomal RNA, 434 nt
Filed under: uncultured bacterium
Lineage: Bacteria
Description: partial 16S ribosomal RNA
Rfam family: Bacterial small subunit ribosomal RNA
Source: RNAcentral